CAUACUGUUGCUUCUACACCACACUGAUUUCUUACACUGCGUUGAUUUCUCACACUACACCGAUUUCUCACACCGUAAUGAUUUCUGACACUACACUGAUUUAACACACUACACCGAUUUCUCACACUGCACUGAUUUCUCACACUACACUGAUUUAACACAUUGCACCAAUUUCUAACAUUUGCAUUGAUUUCCGACAUAUGCACUAAUUCAAUAGGUUGACUGGCAUCCCUGGGCGGGCAUUCCUCAAGUGUCGAGGACGUCCUAUGUCGCGGCAUGGCAUGCCUCUACCGUGCGGAUUCUAUUCAAGGGCCUCUUUGGUCAGGCUUACUAUCUAUGAGAGAGGCUCAUCCGCCAGACGCGGGGCGUCGCUGAUCCUAACAUUCCACAUCCUCCUCUAGUCAUGAGGGUAGUUGAUGAGCUGCCGGACGGUCCUUAGCUUGACCUCCUGAUGUUAGGAGAGGAUGGUGAUCAUCAUCAUGAGCCCGGCGACUUCAUCACCUUCCUACACAUUCAGGUAUGGCGCCUUUUACCCUGGGAGUGGUUCGCGCUGUGUCGAAGGUUACUACUACUGCUGCUGCUGUGGUUGGUGAUGUGUUUGCUGGAGGUGCCCCUGCCAUUGCUCUCAUUCCUGGGUUUCCCGUGAUUCCCACUGAGAUCAUGUACAUGCAUCCAAAUGGAGUGAUCGAGCAGAUUCUGUUUGAGCAUAUCGAUGAGAGGAAUCGUAAGCUAGCGUUCACCCAUGGCAUCGAGUAGUGAUACAUUCCUUUAUGCUUCUACUUACUGUACUUUGUCUUGUUUUGUUUUCUACUAUUUAUGUUCAUUGUUCUCUAUCACUUUUGUCCACCUUUCUCAAAUUCUGUUCCUUUUGCAGAUACCCCGGGCGUAUGCUGAUGACCUCCUUCGUACGAUCAACCGACUACUCCUCAUGGUAUGGAGGAGGCAGACCGCCUUAGUCAUACAUGGGAUUGAGUUUGAGCCGGCACUAGCAGUGCCUGCAGGACCUCCUUUAGCCAGCAGAUAGAGACGGGGCCCAAUAAGGGGCUGAGGGGGAGCCAAUCGAGGGAGAGGCUGAGCGAGGCAGCGCUCAUCUUCCGAGGAGUCUUUUGAAGGGUCUACGACCCUCGAGGACAAGGGAGAGGAGGUUGACUUGCAAUCCAGCAGCCCCAGCGACGAUAGUGAUGCACCUCCUCCGCAGCCGAGGAGGAAGAGGGCGAGGAUGGGCUAUUGACGAGGGCGACGACUUUGUUUUAGUUUUUGUUUUUGUUGUUUUUGCUUCAUAGUUAAAGACCAGCUUCAGAUAGACCCUUUUGUUUUGUUUGAAAGAUUUUUUUUUUUUGUUUUAUUGCUUUGUAAAACGAUGAUCGGGGUUGAACCUACCAGUUAUAGAAGACAAUUUUUUGUUGAA
Molecule: non-coding RNA, 1408 nt
Organism: Camellia sinensis
Lineage: Eukaryota; Viridiplantae; Streptophyta; Magnoliopsida; Ericales; Theaceae
Source: RefSeq, a predicted model, not a curated record